This 492-nucleotide ribosomal RNA is filed under the name uncultured bacterium. Its description in RNAcentral is "partial 16S ribosomal RNA". It matches the Rfam family "Bacterial small subunit ribosomal RNA", at positions 28 to 507 of the family's 1533-position model. The record is from RNAcentral.
GAUGAACGCUAGCUACAGGCUUAACACAUGCAAGUCGAGGGGAAACGACAUCGAAAGCUUGCUUUUGAUGGGCGUCGACCGGCGCACGGGUGAGUAACGCGUAUCCAACCUGCCCACCACUUGGGGAUAACCUUGCGAAAGUAAGACUAAUACCCAAUGAUAUCCCACGAAGACAUCUGAAUGGGAUUAAAGAUUUAUCGGUGAUGGAUGGGGAUGCGUCUGAUUAGCUUGUUGGCGGGGUAACGGCCCACCAAGGCAACGAUCAGUAGGGGUUCUGAGAGGAAGGUCCCCCACAUUGGAACUGAGACACGGUCCAAACUCCUACGGGAGGCAGCAGUGAGGAAUAUUGGUCAAUGGGCGAGAGCCUGAACCAGCCAAGUAGCGUGCAGGAAGACGGCCCUAUGGGUUGUAAACUGCUUUUAUAAGGGAAUAAAGUGGGUCACGUGUGACUUUUUGCAUGUACCUUAUGAAUAAGGACCGGCUAAUUCCGUG